This 383-nucleotide ribosomal RNA is filed under the name uncultured bacterium. Its description in RNAcentral is "bacterial SSU rRNA". It matches the Rfam family "Bacterial small subunit ribosomal RNA", at positions 28 to 414 of the family's 1533-position model. The record is from RNAcentral.
GACGAACGCUGGCGGCGUGCUUAACACAUGCAAGUCGAGCGGUAAGGCCCUUCGGGUACGACGAGCGGCGAACGGGUGAGUAACACGUGGGUGACCUGCCUUUAGCUCUGGGAUAAGCCUGGGAAACUGGGUCUAAUACCGGAUAUGACCUCAUGACGCAUGUUGUGGGGUGGAAAGCCUUGUGCGGCUAGAGAUGGGCCCGCGGCCUAUCAGCUUGUUGGGUGGGGUGAUGGCCACCAAGGCGACGACGGGUAGCCGGCCUGAGAGGGCGACCGGCCACACUGGGACUGAGACACGGCCCAGACUCCUACGGGAGGCAGCAGUGGGGAAUCUUGCGCAAUGGGCGAAAGCCUGACGCAGCGACGCCGCGUGAGGGAUGACGG